CCUACGGGCGGCAGCAGUAGGGAAUCUUUCACAAUGGGCGAAAGCCUGAUGGAGCAACGCCGCGUGCAGGAUGAAGGCCUUCGGGUUGUAAACUGCUUUUAUAAGCGAGAAAUAUGAUGGUAACUUAUGAAUAAGGAUCGGCUAACUACGUGCCAGCAGCCGCGGUCAUACGUAGGAGCCGAGCAUUAUCCGGAGUUACUGGGUGUAAAGAGUUGCGUGGGUGGCAUAAUAAGUAGCUAGUGAAAGCGGGUGGCUCAACCAUUCAGACUAUUAGCUAAACUGUUAAGCUCGAGACCGUUAGGGGUAACUGGAAUUUCUAGUGUAGGAGUGAAAUCCGUAGAUAUUAGAAGGAACACCAAUAGCGUAGGCAGGUUACUGGGACGGUUCUGACACUAAGGCACGAAAGCGUAGGGAGCAAACGGGAUUAGAUACCCGUGUAGUC
This 442-nucleotide ribosomal RNA is filed under the name uncultured bacterium. RNAcentral describes it as "partial 16S ribosomal RNA". It matches the Rfam family "Bacterial small subunit ribosomal RNA", at positions 338 to 795 of the family's 1533-position model. The record is from RNAcentral.